Molecule: non-coding RNA, 48 nt
Filed under: Schistosoma mansoni
Lineage: Eukaryota; Metazoa; Platyhelminthes; Trematoda; Strigeidida; Schistosomatidae
Source: RNAcentral
AUCCAUCUGACGAGUCCCAAAUAGGACUAAGUGGCGCGCGUCCUGGAU